AGCGAACGCUGGCGGCAUGCCUAACACAUGCAAGUCUGACGGGCCUGGGGCUUGCUCCGGGUCAGUGGCGGACGGGUGAGGAACGCGUAGGAACGUAUCCAAGGGUGGGGAUAACCGCGGGAACUGCGGCGUAAUACCGCAUGGGGCCGGCGGGGAGACCUGGGGCCGAAAGGCGUGGGCAACCACGUCGCCGAUGGAGCGGCCUGCGUCCGAUUAGCUAGUUGGUGGGGUGACGGCUUACCAAGGCUACGAUCGGUAGCUGGUCUGAGAGGAUGAUCAGCCACACUGGGACUGAGACACGGCCCAGACUCCUACGGGAGGCAGCAGUGGGGAGUAUUGGACAAUGGGCGAAAGCCUGAUCCAGCAAUGCGCGUGGU
RNAcentral lists this ribosomal RNA (377 nucleotides) under uncultured bacterium. RNAcentral's name for it is "bacterial SSU rRNA". It matches the Rfam family "Bacterial small subunit ribosomal RNA", at positions 30 to 405 of the family's 1533-position model. The record is from RNAcentral.